RNAcentral lists this ribosomal RNA (316 nucleotides) under uncultured bacterium. RNAcentral describes it as "bacterial SSU rRNA". It matches the Rfam family "Bacterial small subunit ribosomal RNA", at positions 31 to 334 of the family's 1533-position model. The record is from RNAcentral.
GAUAGAACGCUAGGCGACAGGCUUAACACGAUGCAAGUCGAGGGGCAGGCACAGGUAAGGCAAUACCGGGUGGCGACCGGCGCACGGGUGAGUAACGCGUAUGCAACUUACCUAUCAGAGGGGGAUAACCCGGCGAAAGUCGGACUAAUACCGCAUGAAGCAGGGGCCCCGCAUGGGGAUAUUUGCUAAAGAUUCAUCGCUGAUAGAUAGGCAUGCGUUCCAUUAGGCAGUUGGCGGGGUAACGGCCCACCAAACCGACGAUGGAUAGGGGUUCUGAGAGGAAGGUCCCCCACAUUGGUACUGAGACACGGACCAA